GACGAACGCUGGCGGCGUGCUUAACACAUGCAAGUCGAACGGAAAGGCCCUGCUUUUGUGGGGUGCUCGAGUGGCGAACGGGUGAGUAACACGUGAGUUACCUGCCCUUUACUUUUGGAUAACUUCAGGAAACUGGGGCUAAUACCGGAUAGGAGCUCCUGCUGCAUGGUGGGGGUUGGAAAGUUUCGGCGGUUGGGGAUGGACUCGCGGCUUAUCAGCUUGUUGGUGGGGUAGUGGCUUACCAAGGCUUUGACGGGUAGCCGGCCUGAGAGGGUGACCGGCCACAUUGGGACUGAGAUACGGCCCAGACUCCUACGGGAGGAAGAAGUGGGGAAUAUUGAAAAAUGGGCGGAAGCCUGAUGCAGCAACGCCGGGGGCGGGAUGAGGGCCUUCGGGUUGUAAACCGCUUUCGCAUGUGACGAAGCGUGAGUGACGGUAAUGGGUAAAGAAGCACCGGCUAACUACGUG
RNAcentral lists this ribosomal RNA (468 nucleotides) under uncultured bacterium. RNAcentral's name for it is "partial 16S ribosomal RNA". It matches the Rfam family "Bacterial small subunit ribosomal RNA", at positions 28 to 507 of the family's 1533-position model. The record is from RNAcentral.